GUGUCCAUAGCUCAGCUGAAUAGAGCAAUAGGUUGCGGUCCUAUAGGUCGGGGGUUUGAAUCCCUCUGGGCACGCCA
RNAcentral lists this transfer RNA (77 nucleotides) under Helicobacter sp. 16-1353. RNAcentral's name for it is "tRNA-Arg". It matches the Rfam family "tRNA". Rfam says of the family: Transfer RNA (tRNA) molecules are approximately 80 nucleotides in length. Their secondary structure includes four short double-helical elements and three loops (D, anti-codon, and T loops). Further hydrogen bonds mediate the characteristic L-shaped molecular structure. tRNAs have two regions of fundamental functional importance: the anti-codon, which is responsible for specific mRNA codon recognition, and the 3' end, to which the tRNAs corresponding amino acid is attached (by aminoacyl-tRNA synthetases). tRNAs cope with the degeneracy of the genetic code in two manners: having more than one tRNA (with a specific anti-codon) for a particular amino acid; and 'wobble' base-pairing, i.e. permitting non-standard base-pairing at the 3rd anti-codon position. The record is from RNAcentral. Lineage: Bacteria; Pseudomonadati; Campylobacterota; Epsilonproteobacteria; Campylobacterales; Helicobacteraceae.